RNAcentral lists this long non-coding RNA (246 nucleotides) under Salvator merianae (Argentine black and white tegu). Its description in RNAcentral is "lncRNA (ENSSMRG00000015315.1)". The record is from RNAcentral. Lineage: Eukaryota; Metazoa; Chordata; Lepidosauria; Squamata; Teiidae.
CUUGCGGGAGUUGGGGCGGGGCGUGCUCUAUAGUGGGGACUCUUGCUUGAGAGAUACCAGCGAGCACACGCGAACCGUUCGGAAGGAGGCGGAGCAAUAUUUUAAAAAAGGAGAGAGGGCGGGCCAAGCUACCCUUCAGAAAGCGCUCCUCCCGGCCAACAACAGGCCAGUACUGAGCAUGCGUCGUGGCUUGAGCGCAUGCUCAGUCAAAUCCCUGGCUGAAAAAUCCCGAAACUCCUCAGGGAG